This 88-nucleotide transfer RNA is filed under the name Buchnera aphidicola. RNAcentral's name for it is "tRNA-Leu(taa)". It matches the Rfam family "tRNA". From Rfam's summary of the family: Transfer RNA (tRNA) molecules are approximately 80 nucleotides in length. RNAcentral also lists the same sequence under 5 other names. The record is from RNAcentral. Lineage: Bacteria; Pseudomonadati; Pseudomonadota; Gammaproteobacteria; Enterobacterales; Erwiniaceae.
GCCCGGAUGGUGAAAUUGGUAGACACAAGGGACUUAAAAUCCCUCGGCUUUAAAAGCUUUGCGGGUUCAAGUCCCGCUCCGGGUACCA